AAGACCUAAAGGAUGACAGAAAUGAGAAAAAGAGGCAGAAGAGAAAGGAGUGUUUAACAAAAUAGAUGAUGACAUCUGUUGUGAACCUCAAAACACAAGAAAGAUGACACCAACUUUCCUAAGACUGCGCCUUGAGGGGAGCACCUGAAGUAGUGCCCAAAACAGAGGAAUGAUUCAGCGUGUGGUGACUGGACUGGAUGGCACUUUCGAACCACUGGACCUGUUCCACAAUGGGGCAGUGAGUUUCCUGUCCCUCUACCUGUAAGUUGCAGAAUCUGAAACUCAAGAGUUUAAAGUAACUUGCUCCAAACCAGCCUCAGGAGUAGUUGAGAUUUAAGCCUAGAUUCUUUCCCACGGAGGCUCAUUUCUUCUCCUGUCCCAGUUUCUGUCCUUCAGGAAGAGACUACUGGAGUACUGACAUUAAAUACUUCAACACAAGGUCCAUGAGGACCAAAGCUCCAAGAGGACCCAAACCUGACAGACCU
Callithrix jacchus (white-tufted-ear marmoset) is the source of this 485-nucleotide non-coding RNA. The record is from RefSeq and is a predicted model, not a curated record. Lineage: Eukaryota; Metazoa; Chordata; Mammalia; Primates; Cebidae.